GGGGAAUAUUGGACAAUGGGCGAAAGCCUGAUCCAGCAAUGCCGCGUGAGUGAUGAAGGCCCUAGGGUUGUAAAGCUCUUUUACCCGGGAAGAUAAUGACUGUACCGGGAGAAUAAGCCCCGGCUAACUCCGUGCCAGCAGCCGCGGUAAUACGGAGGGGGCUAGCGUUGUUCGGAAUUACUGGGCGUAAAGCGCGCGUAGGCGGCUUUGUAAGUUAGAGGUGAAAGCCCGGGGCUCAACCCCGGAAAUGCCUUUAAGACUGCAUCGCUUGAAUCCAGGAGAGGUGAGUGGAAUUCCGAGUGUAGAGGUGAAAUUCGUAGAUAUUCGGAAGAACACCAGUGGCGAAGGCGGCUCACUGGCCUGGUAUUGACGCUGAGGUGCGAAAGCGUGGGGAGCAAACA
This 401-nucleotide ribosomal RNA is filed under the name uncultured Sphingomonas sp. RNAcentral's name for it is "bacterial SSU rRNA". It matches the Rfam family "Bacterial small subunit ribosomal RNA", at positions 356 to 774 of the family's 1533-position model. Lineage: Bacteria; Pseudomonadati; Pseudomonadota; Alphaproteobacteria; Sphingomonadales; Sphingomonadaceae. The record is from RNAcentral.